RNAcentral lists this ribosomal RNA (499 nucleotides) under uncultured bacterium. Its description in RNAcentral is "partial 16S ribosomal RNA". It matches the Rfam family "Bacterial small subunit ribosomal RNA", at positions 28 to 507 of the family's 1533-position model. The record is from RNAcentral.
GACGAACGCUGGCGGCGUGCCUAAUACAUGCAAGUCGAGCGGACUGAAUGGGAGCUUGCUCUUGUUCGGUCAGCGGCGGACGGGUGAGUAACACGUGGGCAACCUGCCCGCAAGACCGGGAUAACUCCGGGAAACCGGAGCUAAUACCGGAUAACACCGAAGACCGCAUGGUCUUUGGUUGAAAGGCGGCGCAAGCUGCCACUUGCGGAUGGGCCCGCGGCGCAUUAGCUAGUUGGUGAGGUAACGGCUCACCAAGGCGACGAUGCGUAGCCGGCCUGAGAGGGUGAGCGGCCACACUGGGACUGAGACACGGCCCAGACUCCUACGGGAGGCAGCAGUAGGGAAUCUUCCGCAAUGGGCGAAAGCCUGACGGAGAGACGCCGCGGGAGCGAAGAAGGCCUUCGGGUCGUAAAGCUCUGUUGUGAGGGACGAAGGAGCGCCGUUUGAAGAAGGCGGCGCGGUGACGGUACCUCACGAGGAAGCCCCGGCUAACUACGUG